RNAcentral lists this ribosomal RNA (257 nucleotides) under uncultured Segniliparus sp. RNAcentral's name for it is "partial 16S ribosomal RNA". It matches the Rfam family "Bacterial small subunit ribosomal RNA", at positions 97 to 354 of the family's 1533-position model. Lineage: Bacteria; Bacillati; Actinomycetota; Actinomycetes; Mycobacteriales; Segniliparaceae. The record is from RNAcentral.
GGCGAACGGGUGAGUAACACGUGGGCAAUCUGCCCUGCACUCUGGGAUAAGCCUGGGAAACUGGGUCUAAUACUGGAUAGGACCUUUCUCCUCAUGGGGUUUGGUGGAAAGUUUUUCGGUGCAGGAUGAGCCCGCGGCCUAUCAGCUUGUUGGUGGGGUAAUGGCCUACCAAGGCGACGACGGGUAGCCGGCCUGAGAGGGUGAUCGGCCACAUUGGGACUGAGAUACGGCCCAGACUCCUACGGGAGGCAGCAGAA